RNAcentral lists this ribosomal RNA (450 nucleotides) under uncultured Micromonas. Its description in RNAcentral is "SSU rRNA". It matches the Rfam family "Eukaryotic small subunit ribosomal RNA", at positions 681 to 1136 of the family's 1831-position model. The record is from RNAcentral. Lineage: Eukaryota; Viridiplantae; Chlorophyta; Mamiellophyceae; Mamiellales.
GGCACUGGCUGGUUUCAACUUCCUGUAGAGGACGCGCUCUGGCUUCAUCGCUGGACGCGGAGUCUACGUGGUUACUUUGAAAAAAUUAGAGUGUUCAAAGCGGGCUUACGCUUGAAUAUUUCGGCAUGGAAUAACACUAUAGGACUCCUGUCCUAUUUCGUUGGUCUCGGGACGGGAGUAAUGAUUAAGAGGAACAGUUGGGGGCAUUCGUAUUUCAUUGUCAGAGGUGAAAUUCUUGGAUUUAUGAAAGACGAACUCUGCGAAAGCAUUUGCCAAGGAUGUUUUCAUUAAUCAAGAACGAAAGUUGGGGGCUCGAAGAUGAUUAGAUACCAUCCUAGUCUCAACCAUAAACGAUGCCGACUAGGAAUUGCAGGAUGUUAAUUGAUGACUCCUGCAGCACCUUAUGAGAAAUCAAAGUUUUUGGGUUCCGGGGGGAGUAUGGUCGCAAGG